CGCCAUAGGGUGGCCGGUCGUUGAAACUGACGCUGCGCGUCAGUUUCAACGACCGGCCACCUUAUGGCGCU
Molecule: non-coding RNA, 71 nt
Filed under: Ixodes ricinus (castor bean tick)
Lineage: Eukaryota; Metazoa; Arthropoda; Arachnida; Ixodida; Ixodidae
Source: RNAcentral